UCUACGGGAGGCAGCAGUAGGGAAUAUUGGACAAUGGGGGCAACCCUGAUCCAGCAAUGCCGCGUGAGUGAUGAAGGCCUUAGGGUUGUAAAGCUCUUUUACCCGAGAUGAUAAUGACAGUAUCGGGAGAAUAAGCUCCGGCUAACUCCGUGCCAGCAGCCGCGGUAAUA
RNAcentral lists this ribosomal RNA (170 nucleotides) under uncultured Sphingobium sp. RNAcentral describes it as "partial 16S ribosomal RNA". It matches the Rfam family "Bacterial small subunit ribosomal RNA", at positions 338 to 525 of the family's 1533-position model. The record is from RNAcentral. Lineage: Bacteria; Pseudomonadati; Pseudomonadota; Alphaproteobacteria; Sphingomonadales; Sphingobiaceae.